UAGAGUUUGAUCAUGGCUCAGGACGAACGCUGGCGGCGUGCUUAGCACAUGCAAGUCGAGCGGUAAGGCCUUUCGGGGUACACGAGCGGCGAACGGGUGAGUAACGCGUGGGUGAUCUGCCCUGCACUUCGGGAUAAGCCUGGGAAACUGGGUCUAAUACCGGAUAUGACCUCCUAUCGCAUGGUGGGUGGUGGAAAGAUUUAUCGGUGCAGGAUGGGCCCGCGGCCUAUCAGCUUGUUGGUGGGGUAAUGGCCUACCAAGGCGACGACGGGUAGCCGACCUGAGAGGGUGACCGGCCACACUGGGACUGAGACACGGCCCAGACUCCUACGGGAGGCAGCAGUGGGGAAUAUUGCACAAUGGGCGAAAGCCUGAUGCAGCGACGCCGCGUGAGGGAUGACGGCCUUCGGGUUGUAAACCUCUUUCAGCAGGGACGAAGCGCAAGUGACGGUACCUGCAGAAGAAGCACCGGCUAACUACGUGCCAGCAGUCGCGGUAAUACGUAGGGUGCAAGCGUUGUCCGGAAUUACUGGGCGUAAAGAGUUCGUAGGCGGUUUGUCGCGUCGUUUGUGAAAACCAGCAGCUCAACUGCUGGCUUGCAGGCGAUACGGGCAGACUUGAGUACUGCAGGGGAGACUGGAAUUCCUGGUGUAGCGGUGAAAUGCGCAGAUAUCAGGAGGAACACCGGUGGCGAAGGCGGGUCUCUGGGCAGUAACUGACGCUGAGGAACGAAAGCGUGGGUAGCGAACAGGAUUAGAUACCCUGGUAGUCCACGCCGUAAACGGUGGGCGCUAGGUGUGGGUUCCUUCCACGGAAUCCGUGCCGUAGCUAACGCAUUAAGCGCCCCGCCUGGGGAGUACGGCCGCAAGGCUAAAACUCAAAGGAAUUGA
Molecule: ribosomal RNA, 890 nt
Filed under: uncultured Rhodococcus sp.
Lineage: Bacteria; Bacillati; Actinomycetota; Actinomycetes; Mycobacteriales; Nocardiaceae
Description: bacterial SSU rRNA
Rfam family: Bacterial small subunit ribosomal RNA
Source: RNAcentral